CUGGACACAGGUGCUGCAUGGCUGUCGUCAGCUCGUGUCGUGAGAUGUUGGGUUAAGUCCCGCAACGAGCGCAACCCUUGCCAUUAGUUGCUACAUUCAGUUGAGCACUCUAAUGGGACUGCCGGUGACAAACCGGAGGAAGGUGGGGAUGACGUCAAGUCCUCAUGGCCCUUAUGGGUAGGGCUACACACGUCAUACAAUGGCGCGUACAGAGGGUUGCCAACCCGCGAGGGGGAGCCAAUCCCAGAAAGCGCGUCGUAGUCCCGGAAUUGAAGUUCUGCACACUCGCACUUCCAUGAAGUCGGACAUCG
Molecule: ribosomal RNA, 311 nt
Filed under: uncultured bacterium
Lineage: Bacteria
Description: bacterial SSU rRNA
Rfam family: Bacterial small subunit ribosomal RNA
Source: RNAcentral